RNAcentral lists this unclassified non-coding RNA (253 nucleotides) under uncultured Planctomycetia bacterium. Its description in RNAcentral is "contains 16S-23S intergenic spacer region". It matches the Rfam family "Bacterial small subunit ribosomal RNA", at positions 524 to 776 of the family's 1533-position model. The record is from RNAcentral. Lineage: Bacteria; Pseudomonadati; Planctomycetota; Planctomycetia.
GACGAACCGUGCGAACGUUGUUCGGAUUCACUGGGCUUAAAGGGCGCGUAGGCGGGCGGCAACGUCGGGGGUGAAAUCUCACGGCCCAACCGUGAAACGGCCUCCGAUACGGGCCGCCUCGAGGGAGGUAGGGGCACGCGGAACUUCCGGUGGAGCGGUGAAAUGCGUAGAUAUCGGAAGGAACGCCGGUGGCGAAAGCGGCGUGCUGGGCCUUCGCUGACGCUGAGGCGCGAAAGCCAGGGGAGCGAACGGG